AUACGGAGGAUGCGAGCGUUAUCCGGAUUUAUUGGGUUUAAAGGGUGCGUAGGCGGAAUGGUAAGUCAGCGGUGAAAUACUGCAGCUCAACUGUAGAACUGCCGUUGAUACUGUCAUUCUUGAGUAUAGAUGAGGUAGGCGGAAUGAGUAGUGUAGCGGUGAAAUGCAUAGAUAUUACUCAGAACACCAAUUGCGAAGGCAGCUUACUAAACUAUAACUGACGCUGAAGCACGAAAGCGUGGGUAUCAAACAGGAUUAGAUACCCUGGUAGUCCACGCCGUAAACGAUGAUUACUGGUUGUUUGCGAUACACAGUAAGCGACUGAGCGAAAGCAUUAAGUAAUCCACCUGGGGAGUACGUUGGCAACAAUGAA
Molecule: ribosomal RNA, 373 nt
Filed under: uncultured bacterium
Lineage: Bacteria
Description: bacterial SSU rRNA
Rfam family: Bacterial small subunit ribosomal RNA
Source: RNAcentral